UUUUAUGGUGGCCGUGCGCAGGGCGUCUUCGGAUGCGCCGGGUUCCUGGACCGGUCUACCAACCUGUGUAUGGCCACCACCCUC
RNAcentral lists this non-coding RNA (84 nucleotides) under Pseudomonas sp. WPR_5_2. The record is from RNAcentral. Lineage: Bacteria; Pseudomonadati; Pseudomonadota; Gammaproteobacteria; Pseudomonadales; Pseudomonadaceae.